GGAUGUGAGGGCGCUCUGGCUGUGACACCUGUCACCCCACUGAUCGCCAGGGUUGAUUCGGCUGAUCUGGCUAGCUAGGUGGGUGUCCCCUUCCUCCCUCACCACUCCAUGAAGGUCCUUCCCUCAGUCAAAGAGGAUGACCAUCCCCAAUGGAGAAGGACCAUUCUUCAGUCAAGGGUAUACCAGCAGGCGCACUCCCCUGCUGGAAUCCAAACCAGCUCUCAAGGCCACUCCUUGACCCACCAGCACCUGUCUACCUGGGAGGCUCAAGUUCUCUGAAGGCAAAGCCGAGCUAACUUGCUUCCUC
RNAcentral lists this small nuclear RNA (307 nucleotides) under Sus scrofa (pig). Its description in RNAcentral is "7SK RNA". It matches the Rfam family "7SK RNA". Rfam says of the family: 7SK was discovered as an abundant small nuclear RNA in the mid-70s but a possible function has only recently been suggested. The record is from Rfam by way of RNAcentral. Lineage: Eukaryota; Metazoa; Chordata; Mammalia; Artiodactyla; Suidae.